GAUGAACGCUAGCUACAGGCUUAACACAUGCAAGUCGAGGGGCAGCAUGAACUUAGCUUGCUAAGUUUGAUGGCGACCGGCGCACGGGUGAGUAACACGUAUCCAACCUUCCGUUUACUCAGGGAUAGCCUUUCGAAAGAAAGAUUAAUACCUGAUAGUAUGGUGAGAUUGCAUGAUAACACCAUUAAAGAUUUAUUGGUAAACGAUGGGGAUGCGUUCCAUUAGGUAGUAGGCGGGGGUAACGGCCCACCUAGCCGACGAUGGAUAGGGGUUCUGAGAGGAAGGUCCCCCACAUUGGAACUGAGACACGGUCCAAACUCCUACGGGAGGCAGCAGUGAGGAAUAUUGGUCAAUGGGCGAGAGCCUGAACCAGCCAAGUAGCGUGAAGGAUGAAGGUCCUACGGAUUGUAAACUUCUUUUAUACGGGAAUAAAGUAUCCUACGUGUAGGAUUUUGUAUGUACCGUAUGAAUAAGCAUCGGCUAACUCCGUG
Molecule: ribosomal RNA, 491 nt
Filed under: uncultured bacterium
Lineage: Bacteria
Description: bacterial SSU rRNA
Rfam family: Bacterial small subunit ribosomal RNA
Source: RNAcentral